This 1378-nucleotide long non-coding RNA is filed under the name Homo sapiens (human). Its description in RNAcentral is "non-protein coding lnc-LRPAP1-5:1". The record is from RNAcentral. Lineage: Eukaryota; Metazoa; Chordata; Mammalia; Primates; Hominidae.
CAGCCUGUGGAGAGGGGAGGAAGCUCUGUGGGCCUGGGACUGCCUGGGACUCCCACUAACACUGUAUCUGGGAGAGCAAUGCCCCCCCCACACACAGAUGCAUACAGACACAUAUGCACACCUGGCCCACACACACAGACACAUGUGCACACCUGACCCACACACACAGACAAAUGUGCACACCUGCCCACACACAGUGCACACCUGCUCACACAGACACAUGUGCACACCUGCUUACACACAUACACAUGUGCACACCUGCCCACACAAAUAUGUGCACACCUGCCCACAUGCAUACAUACACAUGUGCACACCUGCCCACACACAUACACAUGUGCACACCUGCACACACAUACACAUGUGCACACCUGCCCCCACACACAUGCACACCUGCUCACAGACAUAUGCACACCUGCUUACACACAUACACAUGUGCACACCUGCCUAAACGUGCACACCUACUCACAUGCACACAGACGUGCACACCUGCUCACACUCAAACACACGUCCACACCUGCCUUCACAUACACACAUAUGUGCACACCUGCUCACACAGACACAGGCACACCUGCCCACACACAUGCACAACUGCUCACACUCAGACACACGUGAACACCUGCCUUCACAUACAUACACAUGUGUACACCUGCUCACAGAUAUGCACACCUGCUUACACACAUACACAUGUGCACACCUGCCUAAACAUGUGCACACCUACUCACAUGCACACAGACGUGCACACCUGCUCACACUGACACACGUCCACACCUGCCUUCACAUACAUACAUAUGUGCACACCUGCCCACACAUACAUACACAUGUGCACACCUGCCCACACACAUGUACACCUGCUUACACUCAGACACACGUGCACACCUGCCUUCACAUACACAUGUGCACACCUGCCCACACAUGCACACCUGCUCACACUCAGACACACGUGCACACCUGCCUUCACAUACGUACACAUGUGUACACCUGCCCCCACACACGUGCACACCUGCUCACACAAACACACAUGCGCAUCUGCUUACACACAUACACAUGUGCACGCCUGCCCCCACACUCAUGCACAUCUGCUCACAUGCACACAGACAUGUGCACACCUGCUCACACACAGACACAUGUGCACACCUGCCCACACAUACAUACACAUGUGCACAACUGCUCACACACACGCACAACUGCUCACACACAGACACAUGCACACCUGCUCUCACACACAUAUGCACACCUGCUCUCACACACGUGCACAUCUGUUCACAUGCACACAUACACAUGUGCACACUUGCUCACACUCAGACACAAGUGCAACCUGCCCACAUGCAUACACAUGUGCACACCUGUUGCCAUGCACACAUACUCAUGUGCACAUUUG